This 274-nucleotide long non-coding RNA is filed under the name Mytilus galloprovincialis (Mediterranean mussel). Lineage: Eukaryota; Metazoa; Mollusca; Bivalvia; Mytilida; Mytilidae. The record is from RNAcentral.
UUUUUAAAUAACGGUAAUGUACCGUAUGAAGUACAGGAAUUGUCUCUAUUUUUGCUUAUGUAUGCCGAUGAUAUGAUACUAUUUUCUGAUUCUGUAAAAGGUUUACAAGAUAUGUUGGACACACUUUUAUUGUACACCCAAAAAUGGGGUUUAACUGUGAACAAUGCUAAAACAAAAAUUAUGGUAUUUAGAAAUGGUGGUAAUGUGAGGGUUGAAGAAAAGUGGUAUUUUGAUGGUAGUGUUAUUGACAUUGUUGAUGAAUUUUGUUAUUUAG